Molecule: ribosomal RNA, 329 nt
Filed under: uncultured bacterium
Lineage: Bacteria
Description: bacterial SSU rRNA
Rfam family: Bacterial small subunit ribosomal RNA
Source: RNAcentral
CGCGUAGGUGGUAGUGAAAGUUUAUGGUGGAAUCUUAGGGCUUAACCCUAAACUGCCUUGGAAACUUCAUUACUUGAGUCAGUGAGGGGAGGGUAGAAUUCCUGGUGUAGCGGUGAAAUGCGUAGAUAUCAGGAGGAAGGCCGGUGGCGAAGGCGGCCCUCUGGCGCUGAACUGACGCUGAGGCGCGAAAGCGUGGGUAGCAAACAGGAUUAGAUACCCUGGUAGUCCACGCCCUAAACGGUGGGUACUAGGUGUAGGGCUCGUAAGGGUUCUGUGCCGAAGGGAAACCAUUAAGUACCCCGCCUGGGGAGUACGGCCGCAAGGUUGAA